AUAGCUCAGUGGUAGAGUGUGAGUUUAGCAUGCACGAGGUCCUGGGUUCAAUUCCCAGU
Molecule: transfer RNA, 59 nt
Filed under: Camelus bactrianus (Bactrian camel)
Lineage: Eukaryota; Metazoa; Chordata; Mammalia; Artiodactyla; Camelidae
Also listed under: 2 other names
Rfam family: tRNA
About the family: Transfer RNA (tRNA) molecules are approximately 80 nucleotides in length.
Source: Rfam by way of RNAcentral